GGAAUCUUCCACAAUGGACGAAAGCCUGAUGCAGCGACGCCGCGUGGGGGAUGAAGGCCCUCGGGUUGUAAACCCCUUUCGGCAGGGAAGAAGCGCAAGUGACGGUACCUGCAGAAGAAGCUCCGGCUAACUACGUGCCAGCAGCCGCGGUAAGACGUAGGGAGCGAGCGUUGUCCGGAUUCAUUGGGCGUAAAGCGCGCGUAGGCGGUUUGGUAAGUCGGAUGUGAAAUCCCGAGGCUCAACCUCGGGACUGCAUCCGAUACUGCCCGACUAGAGGUAGGUAGGGGAGAUCGGAAUUCCUGGUGUAGCGGUGAAAUGCGCAGAUAUCAGGAGGAACACCGGUGGCGAAGGCGGAUCUCUGGGCCUUACCUGACGCUGAGGCUCGAAAGCCAGGGGAGCAAA
This 402-nucleotide ribosomal RNA is filed under the name uncultured bacterium. Its description in RNAcentral is "bacterial SSU rRNA". It matches the Rfam family "Bacterial small subunit ribosomal RNA", at positions 358 to 772 of the family's 1533-position model. The record is from RNAcentral.